GGAAGGGAAGAAAGACAGUGGGGAAAUCAACAAAAUGUGCAACACAAAAGGAGUCUAGAUUUUCGCGGGGUUUUGUCAACUUAGCAACAGCCAAACGCGAGGCGACGUCAUCACGUGACGCUCCGCCCCGCCCUUAGUCUCAGCCCUGCUGCGGUUUCCAGGAGCUCCGAUUUCUGGCCCAGGCAGGGGCGGCGGGGCACCGCGAAGGAGGGGGGAGGCCUGCCGUGCCUGCCCCGCCCCACACAAGCUGCCGCGCGCCGCUGCAACGGCCCCACCCACCGACAAACGAAGGGGAAGCGGAAAGAGCGGGAUCUCGCGUGGGAUGCGAGUGGGAACUUUGGAUGAUGAUGCCAAGGACUGUAAAAAUACCAAUAAAAUUACUCCAGUGUCCUGAUUGGUGGACUGAAGAUACAUUUUUUCAUACACUGGAAAAAAGCUUAAAUACCAAGCAAAUGACUUUAAAUCUUGCUGGAUGGAACUGCCACUCACCGCUAGAAAUCGGGGAUCGACAGCAAACUCUGGAUGACCCUGUAACCACAUCUCCAGUUCAGCCCGGCGAGGGGCAUCCUCACC
Molecule: long non-coding RNA, 573 nt
Organism: Ailuropoda melanoleuca (giant panda)
Lineage: Eukaryota; Metazoa; Chordata; Mammalia; Carnivora; Ursidae
Exons: 3
Source: RefSeq, a predicted model, not a curated record